Molecule: ribosomal RNA, 497 nt
Filed under: uncultured bacterium
Lineage: Bacteria
Description: partial 16S ribosomal RNA
Rfam family: Bacterial small subunit ribosomal RNA
Source: RNAcentral
GAUGAACGCUGGCGGCGUGCCUAAUACAUGCAAGUCGAGCGAACAGACGAGGAGCUUGCUCCUCUGACGUUAGCGGCGGACGGGUGAGUAACACGUGGAUAACCUACCUAUAAGACUGGGAUAACUUCGGGAAACCGGAGCUAAUACCGGAUAAUAUAUUGAACCGCAUGGUUCAAUAGUGAAAGACGGUUUUGCUGUCACUUAUAGAUGGAUCCGCGCCGCAUUAGCUAGUUGGUAAGGUAACGGCUUACCAAGGCGACGAUGCGUAGCCGACCUGAGAGGGUGAUCGGCCACCCUGGAACUGAGACACGGUCCAGACUCCGACGGGAGGCAGCAGUAGGGAAUCUUCCGCAAUGGGCGAAAGCCUGACGGAGCAACGCCGCGUGAGUGAUGAAGGUCUUCGGAUCGUAAAACUCUGUUAUUAGGGAAGAACAAAUGUGUAAGUAACUAUGCACGUCUUGACGGUACCUAAUCAGAAAGCCACGGCUAACUACGUG